This 492-nucleotide ribosomal RNA is filed under the name uncultured bacterium. RNAcentral describes it as "partial 16S ribosomal RNA". It matches the Rfam family "Bacterial small subunit ribosomal RNA", at positions 29 to 507 of the family's 1533-position model. The record is from RNAcentral.
AGUGAACGCUGGCGGUAGGCCUAACACAUGCAAGUCGAACGGCAGCACAGUAAGAGCUCGCUCUUACGGGUGGCGAGUGGCGGACGGGUGAGGAAUACAUCGGAAUCUACUUUUUCGUGGGGGAUAACGUAGGGAAACUUACGCUAAUACCGCAUACGACCUACGGGUGAAAGCAGGGGAUCUUCGGACCUUGCGCGAUUGAAUGAGCCGAUGUCGGAUUAGCUAGUUGGCGGGGUAAAGGCCCACCAAGGCGACGAUCCGUAGCUGGUCUGAGAGGAUGAUCAGCCACACUGGAACUGAGACACGGUCCAGACUCCUACGGGAGGUAGCAGUGGGGAAUAUUGGACAAUGGGCGCAAGCCUGAUCCAGCCAUACCGCGUGGGUGAAGAAGGCCUUCGGGUUGUAAAGCCCUUUUGUUGGGAAAGAAAAGCAGCAGGUUAAUACCCCGCUGUUCUGACGGUACCCAAAGAAUAAGCACCGGCUAACUUCGUG